RNAcentral lists this transfer RNA (68 nucleotides) under Scirtes orbicularis. RNAcentral describes it as "tRNA-Ser". Lineage: Eukaryota; Metazoa; Arthropoda; Insecta; Coleoptera; Scirtidae. The record is from RNAcentral.
AGUUAAUGAACUUGAAUAAGUUUAUGUUUUGAAAACAUAUUAUAGUAAUUUAAAUUUACUAUUAACUU